This is a long non-coding RNA of Homo sapiens (human), 4468 nucleotides long. RefSeq lists it as uncharacterized. NCBI's taxonomy places the organism in Eukaryota, Metazoa, Chordata, Mammalia, Primates, Hominidae. The record is from RefSeq and is a predicted model, not a curated record. The transcript is spliced from 2 exons.
AGCUGCUGGGUAUCCGCGCCGGAACCGCGAGGGGGUUGGUUCAGGCCUAGGCGCGGGGCAGGACGGGACCGGUGAGUGGCUCCUCCAAACAGCUAUAGAGACCCAGAAAUGCCUGUGGAAAGCUACAGAGGACUUGGGCAAGGCGUUAGAGCCGGACGUUGUGGUCCCUGGGGGAGCCAACCGGGGAGGUGCCUAUGAUCUUUCUUUCCAAGUUUGAGGGUUCAGGUCUGUGUUCGCCUGCUGGUUAGACCGAUUUAAGUUUUAGAGUCCCAGGAGUUCUGGGCGAGCUGCAGCCUAGGGGCCUGGAAGGCCAGGAAGACUUGAAGGAUCUGUGUUGGGCAAGCAGUUAAGAAGGGAAGAUGAACAUAAAGUAGGGAAGAGCAAAAAUGAGUUGGAACCUAAGACACGAGCUGGUCAUUCUUUCACUGUCUCCAACUUUAAAGAUAUGAGUAUCCUUGCUAGAGGAGCUGACACUUUUUGCCACAGGACUAGACACACACACAGCUCAGGAAUCAAAAAAGGUGAAGGAAGACUCAGGGAAAAGCUUCUGCCCCAUCCCAACAAGGUGAACCAGCUGAUUGGUGACAAAGUAGAUGAGCCGCAGUAGCACCUAGUGUCCCUGCACCACCGUUUCAAGUAUAAAACUGGAGGGAUGCUUCAGUUCUCCCCUUCAAGACUUACACAACCAUGUCUCUGUUGGGCUAUUCUAACCAGAAACAAAAGGAAAGGAAAUUCUGGGAAACAUAGUUUAGCUUAGCAAAGUUGAUAUAUUACAAAAUUACCACUGUCCACUCUGCAUCGAGUUGACAUCCAUACAGACCUCUUUAAAACACACUUUCAAAAUAAAGUCCACACCCUACACAUAAGCUAUCUCUAGAGAAAUUUGAAGUCUGUUGUGCACUGAGGAUAACCACAACAACAAACUGUAAACCUAGCCCAAUUUCUGACUAGACUGAUACCACCGAACCACUGCUAUGCACUCAAGAGCACUAAAGGCCUAGCAGAAGGAAAGACACACUCAUCUCCAAGCAUAAAAACAAUCUUUACUUCAUACUGUGAAGAGAGAAUUGAAAAAAUAAUUUAAGCAAAAAAAAUACAACAUGACUAACUUUUAACAGAAAGAAAAAAAGACGCAUACAGAAAGGCAAGAAAAAACACAGUCCAAAGAGAUAAAACAAUCAUUAGAACCAGAUUCAUAAGACAUAGACAUUAGAAAUAUGAGAGAAUUUUAAAUAACUGUGAUUAAUGUGAUGAAGGCCCUAAGGGGAAAGGUGAACAAAAUGCAAGCUCAGAUGGGUGAUUUUAGCAAAUAGAUGGAAACUAUCAGGAAAAAUAAAAUGGAAACUAUAAAAAUAAAAAAUAUAAUAAUAGAGAUGAAGAAUGCCCUCCAUGGGCCCAUUAGGAGACUGAACACAGUUGAGGAAAAAAUCAGACUUGAAGGUAGGUAAAUAGAAAUUGCUGAAACACACACACACACACACACAAAAAGAGUGACAGAAACAGAACACAGCAUCCAAGACUGGUGGGAAAAUAUCAACAUCAAAUCAAGAAAUAGGCGCAGUGGCUCACCCCUGUAAUCCCAGCACUUGGGGAGGCCGAGGCAGGCAGAUCACGAGGUCAGGAGAUCGAGACCAUCCUAGCUAACGCAGUGAAACCCCGUCUCUACUAAAAAUUCAAAAAAAUUAGCCGGGCAUGGUAGCAGGCACCUGUCGUCCCAGCUACUCGGGAGGCUGAGGUAAGAGAAUUGCGUGAACCCGGGAGGCGGAGCUUGCAGUGAGCUGAGAUCACACCACUGCACUCCAGCCUGGGCGACAGAGCAAGACUCUAUCUCAAAAAAAAAAAAAAAAUCAAGAAAUAAUGGCUGAGAAUUUCCAAAAUUUGUAAGACACCAAACCAAUCCAAGGAGCUCAGAGAACACAGAGCAGGAUAAAUUCUUUAAAAAGAAACUAAGCUUAUUGUAUUCAAACUAAGCUUAUUGUAUUGAUACCUGGUAGUUAUAACUUACCAAAUACACUGCCCAACAUCUCCAGAUGAUCUAUUAUUUCUGAAAGUUUCCUUUAUUACAUUUCUUACUUCAGGGAGAUAUAGCCUUCGCUUCAUGUUAUGGUUGGUGCAGUCAGUAUUCUCAGAAAGAAAGUACUGGUUCCAUUUUACCUCCAUCUUUUGUUUCCUGUCAGAAAACCUACCAUACCACCAAGUACUCCUUCUCUACACUGCCUCUGAUAUUUAAGUAAUUUGAGAAUUCUGUUGAGACUAUCUCCCUUUUUUGGUAUGAUGAAUCUGGUCCUAAAUUGCAUGCCAAAGACUUUGAGAACUAAACUGUAGACCCAGAUCUCAUGUCCCAGACUGGCCUUUUGUUACCCACACAAUGAAUGGGUUAAAUUGCUUGGCAGGGGACAGUCCAAUGACCACAACCAAGGAGGAUUUCCCAGGGGGAUUUUAUUACUUGCGAUAAGUAAGGAGGACACUGGGAAUAAUUCCCCAAAGCAAUGCCUCCCUGAGCAAUGGUGCAAACAUGGCUUUUAUUAGUCUGGUUAGCUGAGUCAUUGUAUGUAGAGGUGGAGUCAAGGCAGCGCAGUCCCAGUUGUCGGUUAUGCUGCUACAUAUGUCACAUGUAUAGAAAAUGGUGAAUAAGCUCCUCCUUGGACAGGAUUUUAAGUAUGGUGAUGAGGAAAGUUGGCCAAAGUUCAUCUCCAACUCAGGCAUCUCUGGGUCCAACUGGUCUUUGUUUUUCCUGGGCUAAGCUUCUUCCUGGAACUUUUUAAAACAAAAAUUCAAGAUGUAACAGUUACAAGUGUGUAACUUUUUCACAGUGCGUACCCAAAACCCAAGGACCCUGGGUUACACUUUAGGUGCCACCCAUGUGGGACCUAUCAGAAGAGUACUACAAAGGCUUUGAAAACUGAACUGACAUUGGAACCACAACCCUCAGAAGGCUGGUCAAAACUUAUGACUUGAACCCAAAUGGGUUAAUUACCCUUUAAAACAUAAAUAUCAACAUCCUCCACCAAAUUUAACCAAGACCCAGAGCAUCCUAAUGACAUUCAAAAUGUCCAGGAUACAAUCGAUAUUAAUUGGCAGGUGAAGAACCAGGAAAAUCUCAACUCACGUUGGGAAAAAAUGUAACAGAUGCAGAAUGUAAGUUGCCACACAUGUUGGAAUUAUCAAGACUAUAAAGCUGCUAUUCAAAUGGAAAGUUUAAAAGUCUCAGAGAAGUAAUAGAAAAUACAAAGAAUAGCCCCAUGGAAAUUUUAGAACGGGAAAAUACAAAAACCGUCAUCACAUCAUAUCCGGGGCACAUGCUGUCAACAUUGCUCAUCACUGUUGAUGUUAACCUUGAUCACCCGGCUGAGGUAGUAUUUGAUGGGUUUCUCCCUGUAAAGUUAUUCUUUCCCCUCCCCCUAUUUUACUGUUUAGUGGGAAGUCACUAUGUGCAGCCCAUGCCUAAAAAGGGAGUAGUUGGUGGGCACGGUGGCUCACGCCUGUAAUCCCAGCACUUUGGGAGGCUGAGUGGGUGGAUCACCUGAGGUCAGGAGUUCGAGACCAGCUUGGCCGACAUGGUGAAACCCCGUCUCUGCUAAAAAUACAAAAAUUAGCCAGGCAUGGUGGUGCACGCCUGUAAUCCCAGCUAUUCAGGAGGCUGAGGCAGGAGAACUGCUUGAACCUGGGAGGCAGAGAUUGCAGUGAUCCUGCCAUUGCACUCCAGCCUGGGCGAUGAGCAAAAUUCCAUCUCAAAAGAAAAAAAAGUGAGUAGUUAUAUUUCCCCUCCUUGCGGUGGAGUAUCUACAUUCUUCUGCAUGAGAAAUUUGUCAGUUAUCUCCUAUUUAUUCAAUUAUUUAUAUUAUGAAUUCAUGGAUUCCUAUUUUAUACUUUGGGUAUAAUCCAAUACUAUGUUGUUUAUUUUACUGCUCAGAUUAUUCCUGUGUUGGCCAUUGGGAACUUUUUCAGUUGACAUCUGUGUCCCUUUGACAAACUCCUGUCAUUUUGUGGGGAAGAGGGAGUAGCACUUUCUUACUUUCUACCGCUACAAAAUCCUCCAGUCUUAUCUUGUAUUUCUCUUCCCUAACCCUAAAGUCAAUCAUUCUCAUUUCUCUAAUGAUAAAUGAUGUUAAACAUCUUUUCAUAUGCUUUCUUAUUAUCUGUAUAUCUUCUCUGAUGAUUACCAAGGAUGGGAAGGGUAGUAGGGGGAAAGUGGAGAUGGUUAAUGGGUACAAAAAAUAGAAUGAAUAAGAAUUAGUAGUUGAUAGCACAACAGGGUGAUUACAGUCAAAAAUAAUUGUACAUUAUAAAAUAACUAGUAUAAUUGGAUUAUUUAUAACAAAGGCUGAAGGCUUGAGGUGAUAAAUACCCCAUUUACCCUGAUGUGACUAUUACACAUUGCAUACCUGUAUCAAAAUACCUUGUAUACCCCAUAAAUAUAUAACCUACUAUGUACCCAUUUAAAUAAAAAAAGUUUUUAAAAAAGAAA